RNAcentral lists this ribosomal RNA (433 nucleotides) under uncultured bacterium. Its description in RNAcentral is "partial 16S ribosomal RNA". It matches the Rfam family "Bacterial small subunit ribosomal RNA", at positions 29 to 507 of the family's 1533-position model. The record is from RNAcentral.
AACGAACGCUGGCGGCAUGCCUAACACAUGCAAGUCGAACGAGGCCUUCGGGUCUAGUGGCGCCCGGGUGCGUAACGCGUGGGAACCUGCCCUUAGGUUCGGCAUAACUCCCCGAAAGGGGUGCUAAUACCGGAUCAUGUCUUCGGCCCAAAGAUUUAUCGACUUUGGAUGGGCCCGCGUUGGAUUAGCUAGUUGGUAUGGUAAAAGCCUAACAAGGCGACGAUCCAUAACUUGUCUGAGAGGCUGAUCAGCCACACUGGGACUGAGACACGGCCCAGACUCCUACGGGAGGCAGCAGUGGGUAAUAUUGGACCAUGGGCGAAAGCCUGAUCCAGCAAUGCCGCGUGAGUGAUGAAGGCCUUAGGGUUGUAAAGCUCUUUUACCCGGGAUGAUAAUGACAGUACCGGGAGAAUAAGCUCCGGCUAACUCCGUG